Molecule: ribosomal RNA, 408 nt
Filed under: uncultured bacterium
Lineage: Bacteria
Description: partial 16S ribosomal RNA
Rfam family: Bacterial small subunit ribosomal RNA
Source: RNAcentral
GACGAACGCUGGCGGCGUGCUUAACACAUGCAAGUCGAACGAAGUGGCGAACGGGUGAGUAACGCGUAAUCAACCUGCCCUUCAGAGGGGGACAACAGGUGGAAACGACUGCUAAUACCGCAUAAUGAAGGUGGGGCUUGAGUCUGAUUAGCGAGUUGGAGGGGUAACGGCCCACCAAGGCGAUGAUCAGGAGCCGGUCGGAGAGGAUGAGCGGCCCCAUUGGGACUGAGAGCCGGCCCAGACUCCUACGGGAGGCAGCAGUGGGGAAGCUUCCGCAAUGGACGAAAGUCUGACGGAGCAACGCCGCGUGAGUGAGGACGGCCUGCGGGUUGUAAAGCUCUUUUAAUCGGGACGCGGUACCGGAAUAGAAAGCCACGGCUAACUACGUGCCAGCCGCCGCGGUAAUAC